Molecule: transfer RNA, 75 nt
Filed under: Candidatus Poribacteria bacterium
Lineage: Bacteria; Candidatus Poribacteria
Description: tRNA-His
Rfam family: tRNA
About the family: Transfer RNA (tRNA) molecules are approximately 80 nucleotides in length.
Source: RNAcentral
GUGAGUGUAGCUCAACGGUAGAGCGCCAGACUGUGGAUCUGGAUGUUGGGGGUUCGAGACCCCUCACUCACCCCA